UUUAACCUGGCAGUAGGUUAAAAAUGCACUUGUCACAAGGACAAAACAUGGAAGAGAAGAAGGAAGCAUGCCCCGCGUACCCGGUCAGGGGCUUCAUAAUCUCCGGGGACCCUACUUCCACAGCGACGGUAAUGGGCUGUGGAAAGUCGAAUGCGACUGUUACCCGGACUAGUCAGGCGGCCACACCGGGUCAGGCUAGUUUGCGAGUUACCGGCGUCGCAGGAGGCCAGUUUGGUACACCCAGGCUGGCUGAAUGUAAUAAAUUUAAAACUUUUCGUAGUUGCUCAUCAGGUGGCGAGGUACCUCUGGACUUCUCAUCAAGUACCUCUAAAGCUGCUGCAGCCCAAACCGCUAAGGCGGUUAAAAACCCUGCUUCGGGUACUGAUGAUAAGGGGUCGGCUAAGUCGUCUCUUACAUCAGCUUCCCAAGUGCCAAUUGUACCUCCAGGCUCAGUGACGGUAUCCUCCUGUCCUGGGGAUGUACCACCCCCUGCCAAGUCCGACAAUCAACAAUCGACUCGGCACAAAAAACCCUCCAAGCGGGCGGCAACUACAAGGCGUUCCGCCUUUAGGAUUAUUGAGCUACUCGGGUCCAAACCACCCGGGGAACUCACUACGGAGCAAUCAGCUUCCCUCCAAUGGGCCAAAGCCCAGAUCGCUGGCAACGACAAUGCUUCUCCUCCCGCCGAAGUGAAAACGGAAGCGGCGCCUAAACGGCAACGUUCAGAGGAGGAAGCAGCUUCCGCAAGCCAGCAGUUAGGGACGAAACGUCCAAAACAGGUGCAGAAGUCAAUGACGCGCUCCUUCAGUGAGGUUGCCAAAGACAGCCUCAUUCGAGCCGUCAUCGACCGAAGCGAUGUUGACGGAUCCAUAUCCCAGUCUAACUGGGAUGUGGUGAAGCAAAAACUCAUGGGAGUGUUCUGGCAAGUUCUCAAAGAGAACCCAGGCACUCCUCCUCAAUGCGAUGACGCUGGAUGGUUCCAGGGUCACGUUAAACUAAUGACAUGUGCAGACGAACGCUCAGCGUUGCUGCUCAAGUCUGCCAUUUCACUAUUGGGUGAGGUAUGGGAUGGAUCUAAGCUUGAUGUGGUGACUCCUGAGGAGAUUCCACGCAGGCCUCGAUCCAUCGCCAAAAUACCGUCUGAGCCCUCCACUCCCGAAGAGAUCUUGGAGAUCCUAAAGUGCUGUAACCCUCAGCUUCCAACAAAUGAUUGGAAAGUUGUAAGGGUUUCAGAGGCUGAUGGACCUUCAAGACAUGUGAUCGUAGUCCUGAAUAAGGAAUCCUUGGAACCGCUGCGAGAAACAAAGAGGAAGGUCUAUUACGGCUUCGGAACGAUCUUCCUCCAUGUUUAUCGUAGCGAUUCCAAGGGCGAUCCCUCUCCGAAGGUGGAGGUGGAUGAUGAGUUGACCGUGCAGUCAACAGAAGGCACGGUUAGCAACACAACCUCUGAUCCCUCCGACAGAGAUGAUGCUCAGUCAGUCUCUGAAUUGAUGAGCAAACUCUCUACUCGGAAGGAUGAGGAGGUCGACGAUGACGACCUUCUGGGUCUAUCCCAGGAGAUCGCCAACGCCGAUGUUGUUACCCCAGGAGAUGGUGAGGUUGACUCAAAUCAAUCUACACCACUCUAAAGCAGCAUCAGCUACAUUGCUCCUCCGAGUGGCGCAGAGAGGGGAGGAGCUUAUAAUGGUCCAAGAACCAUGGAUCCAUCAGGAUCGGGUUUGCGGACUACAACAUAAGGACUAUAAAAUCCUUGAUGAUGAUACGAUUGCAGCCGCACUAGAACAUGGCGACACAACUACAUGGCUGGUUUCAAGCUAUAUGGCCCAGGAUCACGGGGAUUGUCCUCCCAACAACAAUGUCCGAAGAUUGGUAGACAAGGCGAACAUGCACAACAUCCCUGUCGUCAUAUGUGCUGACGCUAAUUCGCACCACAGUAUCUGGGGUAGUAGUGACACCAACACAAGAGGUUAUGUCAUACGGAAAAAUACAGGCAGGUGUGAUAGCAAAAAUUAUGAAACGUAUGUAAAAUAACAAUUUUGACAUACAUUCGGAAUUACAUAUGGAUAAAAAAGUGACAGUACAUACAUGUAUGUAAAAUACAUGUCGUCUAAUACCACCUUUAAUAAGAAAACUCGCUCUUGUAUAGAUCACAUACACAUCAGAACAAACAGAAAAAUCACACAAACACACGCUACAAUAAUGAGGUCAAAUAUAUCUGACCAUUAUUCGCUCUUUUGUUGUAUGAAAGAAGAUAAAGAAACACAAGUAAACCAGGGUACGGGAAACUCACAAAAAAAAAACAGGGAAUGCAAAGCACUCUUUGUCAAGGCUCAACAAUUAACAAUUAUAAAGUAAAUAAAUUCACCAAAGAAAUAAAUUGUAGUCAAUUAGUUACUCAAAAUAUGAAUACUAAUGAAAUAUGCAAUAAAAUAUAUGAAACAUUUAAUAAUAUAUAUCUAAAAUCUAAAUAUACUAAUAAAAACAACACAAAAAGAAGAAAAGUGAAUCCAUGGAUGAGUGAAGAGUUAGUAAGAUAUUGUGAUGUUCGGGAUAAACUUUAUAUUAAAUGGUUAAAUAAUAAAAAUAACGAAAAUUACGAAUAUGAGUAUAAAAAAUUUCGAAACUGCUUAAAUAAAAACUAUAUUACGCAAAAAACAAUUAUUUUAAAAGAAAAUUUACCGAAAAUAAAAACAAUACGCGAGUUACAUGGCAACUCAUAAAUGAAAUUAUUGGUAAAAAAAACAAACAAUAUAGACUCAACAAUUAAAAAUAGCAUCAAAAAUGAAAACUUAAUAAACAUAACAACGCAUUUGCAACAAACUUUAAAGAAAAUGUUCAAAAAAUACUACACAAUUGUGAUAUACAAACUUUUAAAAGCAAACCAAAAACUGUUAUAAAUUCAAUGUUUAUGUCUCUUACCACAGAGGAAGAGAUUUAUGGUAUACUAUGUAGUCUACAACCUAAAAAAGGUCCAAGUGUUGAUCGUAUAAGACCGAAAGAUUUGAAAUGAAAAAAAUCACCCCUGUAAUCCCUCAAUUUAUAAACGAAAGCAUUUUUGAAUCCACUAUAACUAAACUACUUAAAACAUCAUUAAUUCGACCGAUAUAUAAAGCUGGUGCCAAAAAUGAUUAUAACAAUUAUGACCAACUUCAAUACUGCCGGUGAUCGAGAAAGUCCUGGAGGAAAUAUUAGUUCGCAGACUAAACCAAAACCAAUACGGCUUCCAAAAAAGGACAAAUAUUAAUAAACUCUUGGGAAAUUUUGCUACCCACAUCAAUAAGAAUCUAGAGGAUAAUUUACAUUGCCUUGCCCUUUUCAUUGACUUCAGUAAAGCCUUAGAUACGCUUUCUCAUAGUAAUUUAUUGAACAUCCUAGAACGAAACAGUAUUAGAGGAAACUGUCUACUAUGAUUCAAAAAAUGAUUGAAAUGCUUAAUGAAUGUUCGGUUUUUGCUUAUGCAGACGAUACAGCCAUAGUAGUGACACAUAGAAACGUUGAAAUAGCAUGCGAUAUAAUGCAAAAGCAACUUAACCAAGUUUCUAGAUGGUGCCACGACAAUGGACUUGUUAUCUACGCAGCCAAAUCUAAACUCAUGCACAUAAAACCAAAUCAUAUCGCUAGCACUGAAGUCAAAAUAUAUUUUCAUGAUUUACAAUGCCUACAUAACACCAAGAAUCAGAACACGAAUGAUACAUGUUCUACUAUUAUAGAGAUAGUAAAGUCAUACAAAUAUUUCGGCGUAUAUGUGGAUGCAAACUUCAAAUGGCUAACGCACAUACAGCAUGUUAGAAAGAAAUUAAGGAAAGUGUCAUACAGUCUCUACCACUUAAGUAAUUGCUCUACAUUCGACGUACUCAAGCAAGCCUAUUUUUCGCUAGCUGAGUCUUAUAUUAGGCAUGGUAUAACGGCAUGGGACAACUCUACAUAUUGUAAAUCCCUACAACAAACCCAAAAUCAAAUACUAAAAAUCUUAUUAAAACACAAACAACAUAACAGUCAGCAAAUAGAACCUGCCCUAAUAUAUGGUACAACAAACAAUCGCAACUAUUUUACCAUCAGCGACAACAACCUACAAAACAGCACACACACAAUAAAUCCAAACAAUUACCACAGUAGUAACGUCAACACAGCAGUUAGAAUCAACCUUAACACACACAACAACAAUACAAACUCCAAUAUUCAA
This is an RNA transcript of Lucilia sericata (common green bottle fly), 4183 nucleotides long. It is a transcript of the gene named ionotropic receptor 75a, with no coding region annotated. NCBI's taxonomy places the organism in Eukaryota, Metazoa, Arthropoda, Insecta, Diptera, Calliphoridae. The transcript has 3 exons. The record is from RefSeq and is a predicted model, not a curated record.